RNAcentral lists this unclassified non-coding RNA (352 nucleotides) under soil metagenome. RNAcentral describes it as "partial contains 5.8S ribosomal RNA, internal transcribed spacer 2, and large subunit ribosomal RNA". The stretch from base 5 to 119 matches the Rfam family "5.8S ribosomal RNA", at positions 40 to 154 of the family's 154-position model. The record is from RNAcentral.
GAUGAGAACGCAGCGAAAUGCGAUAAGUAAUGUGAAUUGCAGAAUUCAGUGAAUCAUCGAAUCUUUGAACGCACAUUGCGCCCGCCAGUAUUCUGGCGGGCAUGCCUGUUCGAGCGUCAUUACAACCCUCAGGCCCCCGGGCCUGGCGUUGGGGAUCGGCGGAAGCCCCCUGCGGGCACAACGCCGUCCCCCAAAUACAGUGGCGGUCCCGCCGCAGCUUCCAUUGCGUAGUAGCUAACACCUCGCAACUGGAGAGCGGCGCGGCCACGCCGUAAAACACCCAACUUCUGAAUGUUGACCUCGAAUCAGGUAGGAAUACCCGCUGAACUUAAGCAUAUCAAUAAGCGGAGGA